GCGGGAAUAGCUCAGUUGGUAGAGCAUAACCUUGCCAAGGUUGGGGUCGCGAGUUCGAGUCUCGUUUCCCACUCCA
Molecule: transfer RNA, 76 nt
Filed under: Acinetobacter baumannii
Lineage: Bacteria; Pseudomonadati; Pseudomonadota; Gammaproteobacteria; Moraxellales; Moraxellaceae
Also listed under: 4 other names
Description: tRNA-Gly
Rfam family: tRNA
About the family: Transfer RNA (tRNA) molecules are approximately 80 nucleotides in length. Their secondary structure includes four short double-helical elements and three loops (D, anti-codon, and T loops). Further hydrogen bonds mediate the characteristic L-shaped molecular structure. tRNAs have two regions of fundamental functional importance: the anti-codon, which is responsible for specific mRNA codon recognition, and the 3' end, to which the tRNAs corresponding amino acid is attached (by aminoacyl-tRNA synthetases). tRNAs cope with the degeneracy of the genetic code in two manners: having more than one tRNA (with a specific anti-codon) for a particular amino acid; and 'wobble' base-pairing, i.e. permitting non-standard base-pairing at the 3rd anti-codon position.
Source: RNAcentral